Molecule: ribosomal RNA, 626 nt
Filed under: uncultured Verrucomicrobiota bacterium
Lineage: Bacteria; Pseudomonadati; Verrucomicrobiota
Description: bacterial SSU rRNA
Rfam family: Bacterial small subunit ribosomal RNA
Source: RNAcentral
UCGUUGUAGCAAUACAGUGGAAAGUUCAGUGGCGAACGGGUGCGUAACACGUGGGCAAUCUGCCUUAAAGUGUGGGAUAGCUCGGCGAAAGCCGAAUUAAUACCGCAUGUGGCUACUGGAGACAUCUUCGGGACGCUAAAGGUGGCGCAAGCUACCGCUUUUUGAGGAGCCCGCGGCCUAUCAGCUUGUUGGUGAGGUAACGGCUCACCAAGGCGUUGACGGGUAGCUGGUCUGAGAGGACGACCAGCCACACUGGGACUGAGACACGGCCCAGACACCUACGGGUGGCAGCAGUCGAGAAUUUUUGACAAUGGGGGAAACCCUGAUCGAGCGACGCCGCGUGGAGGAUGAAGGUCUUCGGGUUGUAAACUCCUGUCAUUUGAGAACAAGGCGCGGCUAUUAACUGUAGUCGCGUUGAUAGUAUCAGAAGAGGAAGAGACGGCUAACUCUGUGCCAGCAGCCGCGGUAAUACAGAGGUCUCAAGCGUUGUUCGGAUUCAUUGGGCGUAAAGGGUGUGUAGGUGGCGCGCUAAGUCGGGUGUGAAAUUUCGGAGCUUAACUCCGAAACUGCAUUCGAUACUGGCGUGCUUGAGGACUGGAGAGGAGACUGGAAUUCACGGUGUAGCA